RNAcentral lists this non-coding RNA (30 nucleotides) under Homo sapiens (human). Lineage: Eukaryota; Metazoa; Chordata; Mammalia; Primates; Hominidae. The record is from RNAcentral.
UAGUCUGAUGUGACUGCUACGUAGUACCCA